CUGGCGGCAGGCCUAACACAUGCAAGUCGAGCGCGCCUUCGGGCGAGCGGCGGACGGGUUAGUAGCGCGUGGGAACGUGCCCAGAUCUACGGAAUAGCCACUGGAAACGGUGAGUAAUACCGUAUACGCCCUUCGGGGGAAAGAUUUAUCGGAUUUGGAUCGGCCCGCGUUAGAUUAGGUAGUUGGUGGGGUAACGGCCUACCAAGCCUACGAUCUAUAGCUGGUUUUAGAGGAUGAUCAGCAACACUGGGACUGAGACACGGCCCAGACUCCUACGGGAGGCAGCAGUGGGGAAUCUUGGACAAUGGGGGCAACCCUGAUCCAGCCAUGCCGCGUGAGUGAAGAAGGCCCUAGGGUCGUAAAACUCUUUCGCCUGUGAUGAUAAUGACAGUAGCAGGUAAAGAAACCCCGGCUAACUCCGUGCCAGCAGCCGCGGUAAUACGGAGGGGGUUAGCGUUGUUCGGAAUUACUGGGCGUAAAGCGCACGUAGGCGGAUUAGAAAGUUAGAGGUGAAAUCCCGGGGCUCAACCCCGGAACUGCCUUUAAAACUACUAGUCUAGAGUUCGAGAGAGGUGAGUGGAAUUCCGAGUGUAGAGGUGAAAUUCGUAGAUAUUCGGAGGAACACCAGUGGCGAAGGCGGCUCACUGGCUCGAUACUGACGCUGAGGUGCGAAAGUGUGGGGAGCAAACAGGAUUAGAUACCCU
RNAcentral lists this ribosomal RNA (704 nucleotides) under uncultured marine bacterium. RNAcentral's name for it is "bacterial SSU rRNA". It matches the Rfam family "Bacterial small subunit ribosomal RNA", at positions 36 to 788 of the family's 1533-position model. The record is from RNAcentral.